Molecule: ribosomal RNA, 255 nt
Filed under: uncultured bacterium
Lineage: Bacteria
Description: partial 16S ribosomal RNA
Rfam family: Bacterial small subunit ribosomal RNA
Source: RNAcentral
UACGUAGGGUGCGAGCGUUGUCCGGAAUUAUUGGGCGUAAAGAGCUCGUAGGCGGUCUGUCGCGUCGAAUGUGAAAACCCGGGGCUCAACUCCGGGCUUGCAUUCGAUACGGGCAGGCUAGAGUUCGGUAGGGGAGUCUGGAAUUCCUGGUGUAGCGGUGAAAUGACGCAGAUAUCAGGAGGAACACCGGUGGCGAAGGCGGAUCUCUGGGCCUUACCUGACGCUCAGGCGCGAAAGCUAGGGGGAGCGAACUGG